GAAAAUACAUAUAUAUGUAUUUUCUUUGUUUGUUAAUGAGAUUUUAACAGGCGUAGGCGUUGAAAUUGAUAUCUUCCAUUACUAAUGAACUCCUAUCUACUUCCCCAAUUAUAUGUUAUAUGAGGGAUGAUGAAUCAAAUAAGGAAGGAUCCCAUUUUUUUAUAUUUUUCUAUAGUUUUUUAUAUAGAAUAGCUGGGACGGAAGGAUUCGAACCUCCGAAUAGCGGGACCAAAACCCGUUGCCUUACCGCUUGGCCACGCCCCAUUUAUAUUUUCUAUUCAACACUAAUAAAAAUUAAUAUUGGUAUUGGUUCUUCGUCAAUUCCUAUCAAAAAAUUUAGAAAAUAUAUUAGCUUGUUGUUAAGAUUUUUGUAUAUGUAGAUAUAGAAUUAAACUGAAUUUAUUGAUCAUAAUAUAUAAUUCAAUUAAGAUAUUGUAUAAAAAAUAUGAUUUCCUCUAUUCUUUUUUGAUUUGAGAAUUGAAGGAUUUUUGAUUGGGUGAGUUUAGUUUAAUAAAGAAGGGUUUUUGGUCUACCUUGCUUUAUUUUCUAUCAAUUUUUAUAUCAAUAAUAUAUUAAUAACUCAGUCAAAAUACAAUUAUUUUCAAAAAAAAAAUGCUUGUUAUGCUUAAUAUUUUUAGUUUAAUUUUUAUCUGUUUUAAUUCUGCCAUUUUUUCAAGCAAUUUUUUCUUUACAAAAUUGCCCGAAGCCUACGCCUUUUUGAAUCCAAUCGUAGAUGUUAUGCCAGUAAUCCCUGUACUCUUUUUUCUAUUAGCCUUUGUUUGGCAAGCUGCUGUAAGUUUUCGAUGAGAUCUUUAAUAUUGUUCUAGAAUAAUUCAUGAUUUAUUCGAAAAAAAAAAAAUUAUAACAAUUGAUAAGAUCAGAUAAGUCUUAUAGUAUAAACUCUUAAUUCAAACAUUGAAGUUAUUGUAUAAACGCGAGAAUUCUGGAUCAUCCCACUUUUUCUCAUUCUGAACUUUUUUUUCCAUUCCAGAUCCUAUUAGAGCCCUAAUUGUAGUUAUGAAAAAAAACAUCUAAAUUUAGGUAUGAAAGAAAUUUUUUGGCAAUGAAAGACUCGACUCUUAUUACAUACAAAUGAAUUUAACAAAAGAAAAAGUCUUUUCUAUUUCUAGAAACCACUGCAUUUCUUGGUGUUAAAAUAGAAUAUGUGGUAUAAAAAUAGAGAAUCUAUUUUUUUUUUUUUUUAAACCAAAAAAAGAUUUUGGAGAUUUUAUAAUU
This 1236-nucleotide transfer RNA is filed under the name Hevea brasiliensis (rubber tree). The record is from RNAcentral. Lineage: Eukaryota; Viridiplantae; Streptophyta; Magnoliopsida; Malpighiales; Euphorbiaceae.